ACGAACGCUGGCGGCGUGCCUAAUACAUGCAAGUAGAACGCUGAAGGAGGAGCUUGCUUCUCUGGAUGAGUUGCGAACGGGUGAGUAACGCGUAGGUAACCUGCCUGGUAGCGGGGGAUAACUAUUGGAAACGAUAGCUAAUACCGCAUAAUAGUAGAUGUUGCAUGACAUUUGCUUAAAAGGUGCAAUUGCAUCACUACCAGAUGGACCUGCGUUGUAUUAGCUAGUUGGUGAGGUAACGGCUCACCAAGGCAACGAUACAUAGCCGACCUGAGAGGGUGAUCGGCCACACUGGGACUGAGACACGGCCCAGACUCCUACGGGAGGCAGCAGUAGGGAAUCUUCGGCAAUGGACGGAAGUCUGACCGAGCAACGCCGCGUGAGUGAAGAAGGUUUUCGGAUCGUAAAGCUCUGUUGUAAGAGAAGAACGAGUGUGAGAGUGGAAAGUUCACACUGUGACGGUAUCUGACCAGAAAGGGACGGCUAACUACGUG
This 494-nucleotide ribosomal RNA is filed under the name uncultured bacterium. RNAcentral's name for it is "partial 16S ribosomal RNA". It matches the Rfam family "Bacterial small subunit ribosomal RNA", at positions 29 to 507 of the family's 1533-position model. The record is from RNAcentral.